CCUACGGGAGGCAGCAGUGGGGAAUAUUGCGCAAUGGUCGAAAGACUGACGCAGCGACGCCGCGUGUGGGAGGAAGCCCUUCGGGGUGUAAACCACUGUCAGGAGGGAAGAAACCCGCGUAUGUGAAUAGCAUGCGCGAUUGACGGUACCUCCAGAGGAAGCGCCGGCUAACUCCGUGCCAGCAGCCGCGGUAAU
RNAcentral lists this ribosomal RNA (195 nucleotides) under uncultured bacterium. Its description in RNAcentral is "partial 16S ribosomal RNA". It matches the Rfam family "Bacterial small subunit ribosomal RNA", at positions 338 to 524 of the family's 1533-position model. The record is from RNAcentral.